AUUUUAUUGACAAAUCUAUCUCAUAACUUUAUUGUUCUUUCAUUUUGUCAUAUCGGUGGGAAAAAAAAACCCCCAGGCUUUGAAAAAUUGGGUUAGGAUUCAAGAGGAACAAGAAAAUUUGUUUUCUGUUUUCGAGUUUUUGGAACUGAUAUAAACCCAUUCUUCAUCCCAUUGGUUUCAUCGUUUAAGGGGUUGGGACUGAAAAGGAGUGAGAGACAUGCCUCCUCAGUCUUCAGGAUGAGACGCAUAUGGCUGUCCUAAAGCGUCAAUUCCCUAAAGACUCUGAAUUCCUAAGAGUAGAGGAAAAAUUUAUUUGCCUUUGCGAUGUAAGAAACUACAAGAUGUUAUAGUUUGUAAUAUUUCGUCUUUAUGAUACUAGCAUAUGUGUAACAUAUCUCACAAAUAAAAUGUGGCAUUUUGGUCCAUUUUUUCUUGAAGUUAUAUCUUGUUUUCUACUUUAGUACUAAUUAAAUUUCAUUUUUGUCAAUUUUAUUGAUGAUCAGUUGUAGUCAUGUGACAAGAGUUAUUACUUGUCUUUUAUGAAUUUGUUUC
Molecule: non-coding RNA, 552 nt
Organism: Camellia sinensis
Lineage: Eukaryota; Viridiplantae; Streptophyta; Magnoliopsida; Ericales; Theaceae
Source: RefSeq, a predicted model, not a curated record